CUUCGUGGUGGGCGUUUUGGAC
This 22-nucleotide non-coding RNA is filed under the name Arabidopsis thaliana (thale cress). Lineage: Eukaryota; Viridiplantae; Streptophyta; Magnoliopsida; Brassicales; Brassicaceae. The record is from RNAcentral.